Molecule: unclassified non-coding RNA, 336 nt
Filed under: soil metagenome
Description: partial contains 5.8S ribosomal RNA, internal transcribed spacer 2, and large subunit ribosomal RNA
Rfam family: 5.8S ribosomal RNA (bases 1-120)
Source: RNAcentral
GAUGAAGAACGCAGCGAAAUGCGAUAAGUAGUGUGAAUUGCAGAAUUCAGUGAAUCAUCGAAUCUUUGAACGCACAUUGCGCCCCUUGGUAUUCCAUGGGGCAUGCCUGUUCGAGUGUCAUUUGUACCUUCAAGCUUUGCUUGGUGUUGGGUGUUUGUCUCGCCUUUGCGUGUAGACUCGCCUUAAAAUAAUUGGCAGCCGGCGUAUUGAUUUCGGAGCGCAGUACAUCUCGCGCUUUGCACUCAUAACGACAGCGUCCAAAAGUACAUUUUACACUCUUGACCUCGGAUCAGGUAGGGAUACCCGCUGAACUUAAGCAUAUCAAUAAGCGGAGGA